Long non-coding RNA from Gracilinanus agilis (Agile Gracile Mouse Opossum), 288 nucleotides. RefSeq lists it as uncharacterized. NCBI's taxonomy places the organism in Eukaryota, Metazoa, Chordata, Mammalia, Didelphimorphia, Didelphidae. The record is from RefSeq and is a predicted model, not a curated record. The transcript is spliced from 3 exons.
UCCAGAUCAAACAGAUUUAAAUUGACCCUCCAGACCACUCACAGGAUCAGACUGUGGGAUAAAUCAGGGGAAGACAAUGUAGCACAACUAAAAGGGCAGAAGACAAAGCUGAAGGCAGAAAUGCCCAGUAGGGAGCAGAACUGGAACACCAUGAGAGAAUGCUGGUGGACUUGCAGCAUGAGAGACCCUGUCUGAGAAGGAGAAGAGUAAGAAAUGAUGUUUGCUGAUAGCUGGGGAAACUAAAGCACCAGUUGUAUCUGCCUAACAGUGACAACUAAAUAAAAACCA